Molecule: long non-coding RNA, 853 nt
Organism: Agrilus planipennis (emerald ash borer)
Lineage: Eukaryota; Metazoa; Arthropoda; Insecta; Coleoptera; Buprestidae
Exons: 3
Source: RefSeq, a predicted model, not a curated record
AAUUACAACAAUGUUGAUGUUUAAUUUAAACGUAAAACGGUUAAUGUUGACCUGGUGAUUUGGUUAUUCCUUCACAUUACCUGUAUAUCAACAUUAUAAAUUGUCAAUUGUUUAUGAAUCUAUGAAUUUUAUAGAUCUCGAUAUUGUUCCGAUCCCAUUGAACUAGACUACAGAGUGUUCCCCUCCACUUCAAUGUCCGAUCCUUGAUCUUGCCCAUAGAUAAUAUCUUGCCUAUCUUGUAUUAAAAACGACGUUACGUCACCAUUUUUAAAAUUUUGCAAUUUUGUUCGCUUUUCGGUGGCUAUUUUCGUUGUAUUUUAUGUUUAUAAUUGUUUAAUAAUUUAGUUUAUUCGUUUUUCUUCUCUAUUUUUACAGAUUGAUGAUAAAUAAGAAUGAAAAGGAAGGGUGGUCAUUUUGAUGCAACUCAACAAGCAAUUUGUCAGCCAUGGUGUUCGUUACAUUAUGGAGGAUCCUCUUACUAACUACAGAACAUUAAAAAACCCUGGAUGGCAUUAAUUUACAGUGCCUUGGUUGUGUCAGUUUUCAUUCGAUCCAGAAAGUAGCUGUCCUAAAAAGAAGCACAAAAGUGGAUACAGUGUGGCAUUGCUGAAGGAAGGAUUUAUAACGAAUGAACUGAUUGUCCAAAUGAGAAGGAAUUACAGCUAGUUUCGAUGGUACUGAAAGAGCUAAAGCUUAUGAUGUCAUACUCUUUCAACAUAAUUUUGAACCUUUGAGGGGGAGGCAUCCGGAAAUUAAUUUGGAAACGACUGAAACAACAAGUUGUCUGGAGUGGUAUUCCUCCUGGAUUUUGCUUGUUCAUUCGACCUUAAAAAGCUACUUUCUGCAGUUAAUU